Homo sapiens (human) is the source of this 4638-nucleotide long non-coding RNA. RefSeq lists it as uncharacterized. NCBI's taxonomy places the organism in Eukaryota, Metazoa, Chordata, Mammalia, Primates, Hominidae. The record is from RefSeq and is a predicted model, not a curated record. The transcript is spliced from 5 exons.
AGAAGAGGAGCUGACUGGCCUCUGGCAAGCCCAAGCUGGAUUACCAGCUGCGGAGGCAGAGGUGCCUGAGGUUUCCCAGCCCCCAGGCCAGAGGAGGCUGCUACACCCACUUCCCCCACGAAGCUGGGGCCCAGGCCAGAGAGAGAGCCCCAAAGCUGGUUUGGGGGCGGGGAGCUUCCCUACAGGCCCUGGAGCCCCAUAGGCCCCAAGACAAAGCAAGAGGAAUGAGAGGAAGCACAGCCGGGUCAAAGCUCCGAGCCACGAGUACUGAGGCAGGUGGUGGUACCCAGACCCCCUCUCCAUAGCUCCCAUGAGAGCACAAGGCGGAGGAGAGGACAGACUCCUGGCCUGAGGGGCCAAGCACCAGCUUCUCAGCCAGCUCUGCCACUGACUUGCUGCUUGGCAAGUCACUUAACUGUUCCAAGCCUCAGUUUUCACUUCUGGAAAUGGGGAUAUGACCCCCUGCCUGCCCCCUCAUGCUGGCAUAAGAAUCAAUGACCUGUGACAGGACUUUGUAAAUUAUAAGUUGGUAUUAGUUAGGCCUCUUUAGUCACAAAUGUGAGAAACUGACAUUAAAUGAGGCAAUGCAAAAGGGGGAUUCACCAGCUCAGAGGCCCAAGACCCAGGGCAGGGAGAGGAGGCGCUGUCAUUCCCUCUCACCCCUGCAUCUCUCUGCAAGUCAGUCUCUUCUUCCGCAAGCCUGGAGCCAACUUCACCUCCUAAGAGGAGCUUCUCUGCUCUGUCACUACCAACUUGAACAACCACAGGGAGGGCCCUGAAUUGUGUCACAUGUCCACCCAUGGCUGUGAGACACUAUCUUAUGCAGCUUCUUCUGGAAGCUUCUUAUUUUGAUUGUUGGCAUCAGCAUUAUAAGUUUGCCACAUUUUCCUGAUUCCUAUCCUCCUUGGACAAAAUAACAUAGGGGCUAAGGGCACAGGCUCUGGAACCCAGAUUACCUGGAUUCAAGUUCUGGUUCUGCCAUUUUCUCACUGUGUAACGUUGGGCAAGUCGCUUAACUUCUCUGCACCUCAGUUCAUAAAUCUGUGAAAACUAAAUGAGUUGAUACAUGGGAAGUAUGAACAAUUGUGCCUGGUGCCGGCCAGGGGUUCAACAAAUGUUAAUCAUUAUUAUUGUCGGAGAAUGAAGGGGCAGUGCCUGGGAAUCCCAGGAUGAGAGACAGCCUGAAGAAAAACCAUCCUGCUCCACCUACUCCUCAACCUUCUUCCGGGGAGAGCUGACAACUGCAGGAGCUAUGGCUCAACAAAGAUGUACAGAGCUAUGCAGUAAGCCCUGAGAAUUACAAAACUUGACAGACAAAGUCGCUUUUUCUCCAGAAGCUCAUUGCCAAGUAAGGGAGAUAGAAGCAUGAAGAGAUCAUUUCUAUCCUGUGCUGGAUAGAAGCGUGUGUAUGUCUCUGUGGGAAGCCACAGUGGGACAACUGGUCCAGAGAGAGCUGCCUGGAAGAAAUGACACCUGAGCUAAGGCCUGGAGCAGGGGCAAGAGCUUGCCAAGCAAGGAAAGGAGGGCAGGGCGUUGUGCUGUCCAUUGGCUAUUCAGUCUCGGCUCCAGAUCUCCACUUGUCAGGUUGGCGCUACUGGGGCUUGAUCUGUGCAAAUUACAUGUCCCCAGGUCAGCUGGUUCUGGCAGGUUCUUCCAAUAGGGGGCACUAGGAGACUGAGGUCAGGAGGAGAGAAGGCACUUGCUCUUUUGUGCUUGCUUGCUUCUCCCCAGCAAGCUUUUUGCCGCAGAAGCAUCCACUGAAGCCUCCAGCUUUCUUCAGCCUCAGCAGCUGGAAGCCAUGUGAAGCAGCUGACAAACAGCUGGAGGCUGAGAUGCCUGCUGUGGGGGGAGCAACAGUUUAAACCAGUGAGCAUGUAGCAUCGGAAAGCUUCCCGAUGGAUGAUAGAUUUGGUGUCAGAAGUGAGAAUACAGAGUAAAACUUCAGCAACCCCCAGGAACACCAGGGAACCAGACCAGAUACCUGCGAAGCCAGCUGUGCCCACUGAUUUCUUGUUUGUAACUGGAGGUCGUGGCUGAAUUUUCUCUCAGAUUCCAAGAUCCAAGAAUUUGUGUUCUCAGCUCUCCAAGUUUGUUUGAGCAAUCUUUGGACUGGGCUGGGUUUGGGAUUGGAUUGGAUUCAAUAAUCAACCGGAUUAGAUUCAGUUAGAGGCUGAGGGCCUCAGAACUACUGCAGGACCAUACCAGAAAAGCUCAGAGAAUCCACAGACCCUUAGAAGGAACUAGAUCACUGCUGCGGGGCCCCUGAGAUGCCGGAAAACUAAAGCUAUAUUUAAAAGGGGGCUGAUACUGCUGUUUUCUAAGAUACUGCCACCAGAUACGUUAAGGAAAUCUCUCAAGAGAAAGGAACAGAUGACAUGUCUAUGGGAGCAACUGACAGUUGGUUUGUAAGCAUCCCGAAUGGUGAAUGGCAAGCUUGGCUUUUUCCAAGGUUUUCUAAAGUAUAAAUUUCUUCCCUUAGGUCUCCAGGUUAUUAUGACUUGUGUUACCAGGUAACAACAAAAAUGGCCUUUUAAAAUCAGGCCAUUUUACAGCAAACUAUAGUUCUUAAUCAUCACCAAAUCCUGCACCAAGGACUAUGCCCAACUAGAGUCAAAUAUUGUUAAACUGCCUAUAUUGUCUGAACUUUGACCUGUUUGAUUUGGUUAGGUUCGUUGAGUUCAUUUCUUAGAACUUGUUGAGGAGUACACUUUGGACUUGUUUGUUUGUUUGCUUGUUUGUUUUAAGAGGUAGUGUCUGUGUAUGCUGCCCAGGCUGGAUUCAAACUCCUGGGCUUAAAAGAUCCUCCUGCCUCAGCCUCUCAAGUAACUGGGACUACAGGCUCAUACCACGGCAACCAGCUGGUCUUUUCCUAUUAUUUUCUUGAUCGUCAUAAUAGUCCCUUGAUAUGGUUUGGCUCUGUGUUCCCACCCAAAUCUCACCUUGAGUUGUUAUAAUCCCCACAUGUUGUGAGAGGAACCUGGCGGAAGGUAAUUGAAUCAUAGGGGCAGGUUUUUCCCAUGCUAUUCCAUUGAUAGUGAACAAGUCUCAUGUUCUCCCUCACAAGCUUUCUUGCCUACCACCAUGUAAGAUGUCCCUUUGCUCUUCCUUCAUCUUCCUACAUGUUUGUGAGGCCUCCCCAGCCAUGUGGAGCUGUGAGUCCCUUAAACUUCUUUCCUUUAUAAAUUACCCAGUCUUGGGUAUGUCCUUUUAGCAGUGUGAGAACAGACUAAUAUAUCCCCUGGGGCACGGCAUCAUCUCAAGUCUUAAAUGUUUUCUUUUUUUUUUUUUUUUUUUUGAGAUGGAGUCUCACUCAGUCACCCAGGCUAGAGUGCAAUGGCGCGAUCUUGGCUCACUGCAACCUCCACCUUCCAGGUUCAAGCAAUUCUCCUGCCUCAGCCUCUCGAGUAGCUGGGAUUACAGGCGUGUACCACCACACCUGGCUAAUUUUUGUAUUUUUAGUAGAGACGGGGUUUCACCAUGUUGCCCAGGCUGGUCUUGAACUUCUGACUUCAAAUAAUCCACCCGCCUCAGCCUCCCAAAGUGCUGGGAUUAUAGGCGUGAGCCACUGCACCCAGCCACUCAAGUUCUUAUGUAUGAACUGCAAACUAACUUAGUAUUAAACAAACUGAAAACCUAAUUUAGGGGUGAGCUUCUGUAACAAUAGCUAAGUCUCAACCAAUCACAACAGCCAUGCAUUAGUCAAUCACAGGCGGCCAGCUGUUCAGACCAUGUUCAAAUAAGGCGAAUACUGUGCUGUAACCAAUGCAGCUGUUUCUCUACCUCACUUCUAUUUUCUGUCCUUUGCUUUUCUUCUUCUGCCAUAAAUUUAUCUGCCCAUACAGCAGCCCUGAAGUCUCUCUGAAUCUGUUCCGAUUCUCAGGACUGCCAGAUUCAUGAAUCAUUUUUUUUUCUUUUUCUUGCUCAGUUAAACUCUGUUAAAUCUAAUUUGUCUAAAGUUUUUCUUUUAACCCUGCCAAGUAGCUCUUUCCAUCUGGUUCUUGUCUCAUGAUGUAAGUGUUUCUCUGCCUUUUCAUCUCUGAAACAGAGUCACCUGGCAUUGGUAAUAUUCUGUUCUGAUCACCUCUAAUGGGAAACUAGCUGUAAAGAUGCUGUUUACUAUUACAGUCAGAAAUUCACAUCGUUUACUGUUUUGCUUUUGUGUUAUGUUUUAAAGAUAACAUCGUAUGGCCUUCUUUCUGAAGGGCCUGAAGAAGCCUUUGGACCAAAGCAAUAAAAUUCUGACCUUCAAAAAAGAUUAUAUCACAUAAUUUUCUACCUUUAAAAAUUGUAUAACAUUUUUUAUUCUAAAAUAAAAAGCAUAGGUACACAAACCUAAGCUUUAUUCCCAAAAAAGAUGUUUUCUAAGGGAAUAUAUUCAGGUUACAAAAUGCUAUUUUUAGGGAGCUAAAUGAUAAGAACUUAUGGACACAGAGAAGGAAACAACAGAUACUGGGGCUUACUCAAGGCGGGAGGGUGGCAGGAGGGAGAGGAGCAGAACAGGUAACUAUCAGGUACUGAGCUUGAUACCUGGAUGAUGUAAUAAUAUGUACACCAAAGCCCCGUGACAGGUGUCUGUCUAUGUAACAAACCCUCAAAUGUACCCCUAAACCUAAAAUAAAAAUGUUGUUUUAAAUGCUA